GAUUAGUUUUUCUUUUUUUUUUAAAGUAGAGUUCCUAUAUAUUAAGUAAUACUUCAACUAAAAAAACGAGAACAGAGACUUCUCUUGUGGUCCAACAGUUAAGAAUCCAUCUGCCAAUGAAGGGGACACAGGUUGCAUGCCUUGUCCAGAAAGAUUCCACCUGCUGUUUGGCAACUAAGCAUUCGUACAACAACUGAGUCUGAAGGCAGGAACUGCUGAAGCCGGCAGGCCCUACAGGCCUACCCCUCUGCAACAAGAGAAGCCACCACAGUGAGAAGCCCGUCUACACCACAACCAGUGAGUAGUCCCCACUUGCUGCAACUAGAGAAAAACCCACAAGAAGCAAGGAAGACUCAACACAGCCAAAAGUGAAUAUCAAAAUAAAUAAAAUUGAAGAAUGAGAAGAAUCUUUGGGUCCCUCAAUGUAACAUUGAGAAACUCUUCCUCUUUGAAGUUUUAUGGCUUAGAACUCUGAUUUCAUCAUGAAAAAGUACUUAUGUGGGGUCAUUUCAUCCAAUAAUGAAAAUAGCCUGAUGGUGCACAUGUCUCCAGGGAUGCCCAAAACCCUGAAAGGAAGGACUCAAAAAAUCUUAUUUGAAUGAAAGAUUCAACAUUGCUCUGAGGUUCUAUCAAUCAUUUGAGUCAAAAGCCUUCCAGCCAAAUUUAUUGCCUGAGUAUGGUAAUCCACUCAAUUCAGGUAUGUCAAAGCAGUUAUUCA
Molecule: long non-coding RNA, 718 nt
Filed under: Capra hircus (goat)
Lineage: Eukaryota; Metazoa; Chordata; Mammalia; Artiodactyla; Bovidae
Description: lncRNA (ENSCHIG00000007085.1)
Source: RNAcentral